CCUACGGGUGACAGCAGUGGGGAAUAUUGCACAAUGGGGGAAACCCUGAUGCAGCAACGCCGCGUGAGUGAAGAAGUAUUUCGGUAUGUAAAGCUCUAUCAGCAGGGAAGAAAAUGACAGUACCUGACUAAGAAGCCCCGGCUAACUACGCUCCAGCAGCCGCGGUAAUAUGUAGGGGGCAAGCGUUAUCCGGAUUUACUGGGUGUAAAGGGAGCGUAGACGGCGGCGCAAGUCAGAAGUGAAAGCCCGGGGCUCAACCGCGGGACUGCAUUUGAAACUAUGUAGCUAGAGUGCAGGAGAGGUAAGUGGAAUUCCUAGUGUAGCGGUGAAAUGCGUAGAUAUUAGGAGGAACACCGGUGGCGAAGGCGGCUUACUGGACUGUAACUGACGUUGAUGCUCGAAAGUGUGGGUAUCAAACAGGAUUAGAUACCCGAGUAGUC
RNAcentral lists this ribosomal RNA (440 nucleotides) under uncultured bacterium. Its description in RNAcentral is "partial 16S ribosomal RNA". It matches the Rfam family "Bacterial small subunit ribosomal RNA", at positions 338 to 795 of the family's 1533-position model. The record is from RNAcentral.